RNAcentral lists this long non-coding RNA (478 nucleotides) under Mytilus galloprovincialis (Mediterranean mussel). Lineage: Eukaryota; Metazoa; Mollusca; Bivalvia; Mytilida; Mytilidae. The record is from RNAcentral.
UUUCCGCGAAUUCCGAACAGCUAGAAAUAUAUUCCCGAGUUUCAAUUUGAGUAGCUCGAAUAAUUCAAGCCCUUUCCAUGUCCGAUUUUCUCCCACACGAGAAAUGGAGUAUUCGUACAUUAGCUGAAUAUUACGACUGAAUUAUUCGGGUUACAAUUUGUGUAAAUCCCGAAUGCACAUAAAAGUAAAGGUCCAGCCCUACUUUCGGGAAAGGACUGUUGUAGAUUUCAGAUUGAUUUCCAGAAAUAAAAAUCAUACAAAAAUGUUUCACGCAAAUAUUCGUCUUCAGACGUGUAAAGUUAUACAACGGUUACUAGCCGGUCUGAAUUGUGAUAAAAAGAAGCGCAUGCAAUGCAUAAAAUAUAUAAUGUCGUGGCUCAGCGAUGUGUUGAAUUAUAGAGAUGCUUAUGCGGCACAAAGAUAAGAUUAAUUUUCCAAAUGUACUAAGAAUUACCACACAACUUAAAUUUGCUUAAAU